Eubalaena glacialis (North Atlantic right whale) is the source of this 1575-nucleotide long non-coding RNA. RefSeq lists it as uncharacterized. NCBI's taxonomy places the organism in Eukaryota, Metazoa, Chordata, Mammalia, Artiodactyla, Balaenidae. The record is from RefSeq and is a predicted model, not a curated record. The transcript has 3 exons.
AGGUGGAUCCGUGGCCCGGGGACUGGGGACCCCCGUGACAGCUGGAAGGAGAAGAGAGAGGCGUAGGGCGCGUGGAGGGACGGAGAAGGGCGGUGGCGCGGCGUGCCCAAGCCUGGGCCCCUCACCCUCCCCCAGGUGUAUACACACGCCGCGGGCCCACCUCCCCGCCCCCCCCCCGCCCGCCCCCACGCCGGCGCCUCAGGAAAGGUGGUGGAUGAGGGACUCGCCUGCGGCUCCCCCGGCCUGAAGCAACUCCAUCCGUUCCUGCAGCUGCCGGACGUGCGCCUCCAGGUCUCGGUUACGGGCCUGGGCCUCGCGGAGUUGGCUGCAGGGGAGGGCCUCCUGGAGUUCCCGCAGCGUCACCUCGGCCUCUGCCACCGCCUCCGGAAUGGCCUCCGGAAUGGCCUCUGGAACUGCCGCUUCAGCCUGGCUCCCAGAGGGCCUAGCACUCCAUGGCGCACACUAUCCCUGAAGGCCUCCCCUUUUCUCUCGAUUCGUCCCUCACUGACCCUCUCCUCUAAAGACUCCUAAAGACUCACCGUUUCCUCUGGUGGGGGCACCAUGGGUUCCAGGCUGGGCUCUUGCAGUGGCUCAGGCAACGCCUCGGCCUCCAGUUCCAUGGGCGUGGAGCCCGGGAGCUCAUCACCCCUGGGGAGAGGAAGAGGGCGAGGGGAGGAAGAGCCGGCCUCACCCCAGAGGCUGCCGAUCCCCUGAUCCCCUGCGUUUACAGCCAGGACUCCCUAGCCUGUGCCCUGGGGCAGCCAGACCUGAAGGCUCCAGGCUUGAGGAGGGGGAGGGGCAGAGUGAAGGCAACAAAUUGCCAGGCUGGUGGGACAGGUCCUCCUCUCGUUAGGAAAAGGCCUGCCCCUGGCAUGGCCUCAGGCCCCUGGAAGCUGGCCUCUCUGCACCUUCCUCAGGAACCUGGGGUCAGGACACCCAUGUUCUAGGAUCUGCCCAUCUCCGUCUCCAUGUGCGCUUUACAGGCCCCCUCUCCUAAGGGCCUCAGGAAGUGAGGGAGACACUCCCAGCUCUGGCCACCUCCAAAGAGGUGGUCUUCAGACUGGGUGUUGGACCCCAAGACUGACUCUAGACAGCAGCCACCCCCCCACCCCCAGACCCAGGUGCUGGGAGGAAGACAGACCCUCCCAAGGAAUAUGAAAUUGCAAUAAAAGUGAUGUCCCCUCCAACCCAGCAGUCCCUCUUGUAGAAAUAUGUCUCAAGGACCCAAUGAUGCUCGACAAGCGCCAAGACCAACCUGCGGCUGUUCAUCCAGCCUCGGUCAUGACAGAGAGGCGGGUUAGCUGAGUCCUGACCCGCCCAGUAAGGAGAACACUCCCCAGCGGGUCAGGAUUGUGUUAUAGUUUGUUCAAGAAAUGGCACUUGCGGUACAUUGUCCACUAACAAAACAGAUUAGAAUACAGCAUGUUCUCACAGCUGUUAGGUACGUGUGCUGUGAGCCAGGGACCGUUGCUGCUGGCGGCCUUCCUUUUUCUCAUCCCUAUUUUCUAAUAUACUUGUGAUAAGCAAUGUAUUAUUUUCAGAAUCAAUGUUUUAAGAAGGCUUUGUGGAAUGUAA